UGGGGAAUAUUGCACAAUGGGCGAAAGCCUGAUGCAGCAACGCCGCGUGAGUGAUGAAGGCCUUCGGGUUGUAAAGCUCUGUCUUUUGGGACGAUAAUGACGGUACCAAAGGAGGAAGCCACGGCUAACUACGUGCCAGCAGCCGCGGUAAUACGUAGGUGGCAAGCGUUGUCCGGAUUUACUGGGCGUAAAGGAUGCGUAGGCGGACUUUUAAGUGAGAUGUGAAAAGCCCUAAGCUUAACUUGGGGACUGCAUUUCAUACUGGAAAUCUAGAGUGCGGGAGAGGAGAAUGGAAUUCCUAGUGUAGCGGUGAAAUGCGUAGAGAUUAGGAAGAACACCAGUGGCGAAGGCGAUUCUCUGGACCGUAACUGACGCUGAGGGGCAUGAAAGCGUGGGUAGCAAACAGGAUUAGAUACCCUGGUAGUCCACGCCGUAAACGAUGAGUACUAGGUGUAGGAGGUAUCGACCCCUUCUGUGCCGCAGUUAA
This 487-nucleotide ribosomal RNA is filed under the name uncultured bacterium. RNAcentral's name for it is "partial 16S ribosomal RNA". It matches the Rfam family "Bacterial small subunit ribosomal RNA", at positions 355 to 855 of the family's 1533-position model. The record is from RNAcentral.